UGUAAAAGCUGCCACAGACACUACAUGAACACGAAUGAGUGUGGCUGGUGUUCCAAUAAAACUUUAUUUACACAAACAGGUGGCCCUUUUGGGCUGUAGUUUGUCAACCCUUGCUCUAACCCUUGACUGAGAGCUACUUUAUUAAGCCCUGAGGGCAGGAGCUAUCCCAAUUUUGUGCUCCCCAGGGCACCAAAACACAGUGCUUUGGCAUAGAGUAGGCACUCAACAAAUGUGUGAACAGAUGGAGAGCCAGCCCUAGUCAGUGCACUCACCCUUUGAGGCUCUGGUUCCUCCAAACAAUGAUUCGUUGUCUGGAUUGGCUGGAACUGUCACCCCCGCAAUUCUACUCCCCACCCACCCAUGUGAUCUUAAUGUCAGUUGCUGGUCUGUUGCUCUUCGGGGAGGGAGAGAUGGCCUGGAUACAGAGCUAAGCAAAUGCUUCUUGAAGGGCCCUUAAAAGUGAAAAGUAACUUGCAAGAGGUUGCAGUGAGCCGAGAUUGCGCCACUGCACU
This 512-nucleotide small RNA is filed under the name Pan troglodytes (chimpanzee). RNAcentral's name for it is "processed transcript". The record is from RNAcentral. Lineage: Eukaryota; Metazoa; Chordata; Mammalia; Primates; Hominidae.